This 253-nucleotide ribosomal RNA is filed under the name uncultured bacterium. RNAcentral describes it as "partial 16S ribosomal RNA". It matches the Rfam family "Bacterial small subunit ribosomal RNA", at positions 524 to 776 of the family's 1533-position model. The record is from RNAcentral.
UACGGGGGGGGCAAGCGUUGUUCGGAAUUACUGGGCGUAAAGGGCGCGUAGGCGGUUCGCUAAGUUGGAUGUGAAAACUCUGGGCUUAACCCAGAGCCUGCAUCCAAAACUGGCAGACUAGAGUUUUGGAGGGGGAAGCGGAAUUCCUGGUGUAGCAGUGAAAUGCGUAGAUAUCAGGAGGAACACCGGUGGCGAAGGCGGCUUCCUGGACAAAAACUGACGCUGAGGCGCGAAAGCUAGGGGAGCAAACAGG